This 700-nucleotide ribosomal RNA is filed under the name uncultured bacterium. RNAcentral describes it as "bacterial SSU rRNA". It matches the Rfam family "Bacterial small subunit ribosomal RNA", at positions 1 to 737 of the family's 1533-position model. The record is from RNAcentral.
AAUUCGAUUAGUUUGAUCAUGGCUCAGGACGAACGCUGGCGGCGUGCCUAAUGCAUGCAAGUCGCACGCAGAGUGCUUGCACUCUGAGUGGCGCACGGCUGAGGAUCACGUGGGAACAUGCCUCCUUGUGGGGGACAACCCCGCGAAAGCGGAGCUAAUCCCGCAUACGCUCGUGCAAACGAGGAAAGCGGUAACGCGCAGGGAGAGUGGCCCGCGGCCCAUCAGGUCGUAGGUGGGGUAAUGGCCUACCUAGCCGGUGACGGGUAGCUGGUCUGUGAGGACAGACAGCCAGACUGGGACUGAGACACGGCCCAGACUCCUACGGGAGGCAGCAGCAAGGAAUUUUCGUCAAUGGGCGCAAGCCUGAACGAGCAACGCCGCGUGGAGGAUGACGGCCUUCGGGUUGUAAACUCCUUUUUCGGGGGACGAUAAUGACGGUACCCCGGGAAUAAGGCUCGGCUAACUCUGUGCCAGCAGCCGCGGUAAUACAGAGGAGCCAAGCGUUGUCCGGAUUGACUGGGCGUAAAGCGCACGCAGGCGGACGCGCGCGUGGGGUGUGAAAUCUGGCCGCUUAACGGCCAGGCGCCAUCCCAUACGGCGCGUCUGGAGGGCUGCAGAGGUCGAUGGAAUUGCCGGUGUAGUGGUGAAAUGCGUAGAGAUCGGCAGGAACACCCAGGGGGAAACCAGUCGACUGGGCAGC